This 466-nucleotide ribosomal RNA is filed under the name Hymenoscyphus scutula. RNAcentral's name for it is "partial ribosomal RNA". The stretch from base 158 to 311 matches the Rfam family "5.8S ribosomal RNA". Lineage: Eukaryota; Fungi; Ascomycota; Leotiomycetes; Helotiales; Helotiaceae. The record is from RNAcentral.
AGAGUUCCUGCCCUCACGGGUAGAAACCCCACCCUUGUAUAUAAUAUAUUGUUGCUUUGGCAGGCCGCCUCACGGCGUCGGCUCACGCUGGCUCGUGCCUGCCAGAGGACCCUAAACUCUGAAAUACAGUGUCGUCUGAGUACUAUUUAAUAGUUAAAACUUUCAACAACGGAUCUCUUGGUUCUGGCAUCGAUGAAGAACGCAGCGAAAUGCGAUAAGUAAUGUGAAUUGCAGAAUUCAGUGAAUCAUCGAAUCUUUGAACGCACAUUGCGCCCCUUGGUAUUCCGAGGGGCAUGCCUGUUCGAGCGUCAUUUUGACCAACUCCUACCUCGGUAGGGUCUUGGGCUUCGCCUCCGGGCGGGCCUUAAAACCAGUGGCGGUGCCUUGAGGCUCUACGCGUAGUAAUUCUUCUCGCGAUAGGGUCCUCGUGGUAACUUGCCAGCAACCCCCAACUUCUUAAGGUUGA